Bos taurus (domestic cattle) is the source of this 1605-nucleotide long non-coding RNA. The record is from Ensembl. NCBI's taxonomy places the organism in Eukaryota, Metazoa, Chordata, Mammalia, Artiodactyla, Bovidae.
AAAAAAAAAAGUUUCCUUGAUUUUUUAUUUGAAUUGUGUUGUUGCUGCUUUGAUUAUGGACGGUUUUAUUUAGUCCUUGCAUAGAUUCCCCCACCCCAGUAUAAAAUAAGCUUGUUCAGAGACACCCCGGUUUGUUUUUGUCUCUGGAAGCCCGUACAGGUAAAGCAAUAUAAACUACUAAUGAUUCUUUGCUGGAGACCAAAUGAAACUAGCUAUCUUCAUAAACCAUGAUUGAAUGAACCAAUACUGGAGAGAAACAUGCAAUGAGAAGAAAACCAAUAAAAACUCUGACCGUCUUACAGCCCAGCUUGAGCAAAAUGUUACAGAAUGUUAAAAAGAGGGGGCCUUUCCUAUCUCUCUCUCAGAAAAUCUGAAAUCUUCCAAGCACUUUCUUUUCUGCCCAUCCUUUGUAACAGACUAUGGAAAUAUAGGAGGCAUCUGGUGAGUAGGUAACUUUAAAAUGGAAGAAAGAAUGUGCAAACCGAAGUUUUUUCUAGGUUUUUUUUUUUUUUAAUCAUUGCUUGUGGACAUCUGUCCUUCCCAUCAGUCAUCGUGUUUCCCCACGCUCCUUUUCCUUCCUAUGUGUUUCCAGUCACUUCCUUUCUGUGAAAGGUUGCUUAGCUUUUAAAAUUUUUUAAUAUUUGCUUUUGCUGUUCUUUGUAUAAAAACUAGCAGAUUGGAUGGCUGUGUCCCCCAGGUGUUUGAAAUUCUCUGAAAAUCCAGAGUGAAGAAACGAGGUGUGCAGAAGGCUCUCUAGCCCCUCUGAGUAGAGCUUGAGCUAACUGGAAGUGCUCAGUCUGGAUCAUCAUUUUCAUGGUAUUUUCAAAGGAGAGUUAAACACUGUGCUUAUUGGGAAAUCUCUGUUGGUUGGUGGUUGCUUCAAUAGGUAGCCAAACAAGUUGAUUGCUUUUUGGAUUUUAGCAUAGAAAUCAAAGUAGAACAUAUCAGCAAGAGUCUCUUCCAUUCCGUCUCUAGAACCAAAAUGUUCAGUAGUUGAAGAGCUCUCCCUGAACCAGUGGCCAAAUGUCUAUAUUUUUAGAUGCCACUGUCUUUUCCUCAGAUGCUCCUUUUGUGAAUUUCAUUUCCUAUUUCAUAUCAGACCAGCGGUUGAGAUUGGUAGGUGGGUCACUAGGCAUGUUUUUGUUUUGCGGACAUUAUUUCCAUUUCAUUUCUCUCUCUACUGUACACUGCAGCAGUAUGCAAACUGUGUGAUACAGGCGGCCUCUGCCUUAUUUCUGCAAAGUAGCCGGGUGUCCUCUGCCUGAGCAUUUGGGUGUUCAGCCUCUGUCCGCCUCCUAAACUGGCUCCUGAGAAAAUCAACGUCAGCCCUGCCAGGGUGUCUGGUAGCAGCUCCUAAUAAUUAUUUAUGCUUCUGGAAUUGUUUGCAGCUCCUGAAACCUUGUGUCCGUUUCAGUUUGAUUCUCUCGAUUUGUACAAUAUAUGCAUAUUCUUUUUUCCCUUCUGUCACCCUCCCCUCCCCUCGGCGUUUUUUAAUGUCCUGUAGUUUUGUAUGAGAGGAGACUUAGCCUCGGGUACUUCUUGCUGAAGCUUUAAUGCUUUGUAAAUAAAAUCGGAUGUUUAUUUAAAAAUAAAUAAAUAAAUAAA